UCGUGGGGCUCCGGCCCCGUCGAGAUAGCGUCCUUGCCUAUUUUUUGGAGUACCUUUUCGUUUCCUCAGCAGGCCUGCCUGCUCCCGGGGACCCCCAAAACUCUUUUGUAAACGCAGCAAUCGUCUGAGCAAACAAACAAAAAAAUCA
This 148-nucleotide unclassified non-coding RNA is filed under the name uncultured Massarina. RNAcentral describes it as "sequence contains ITS1". Lineage: Eukaryota; Fungi; Ascomycota; Dothideomycetes; Pleosporales; Massarinaceae. The record is from RNAcentral.